Molecule: ribosomal RNA, 651 nt
Filed under: Triticum aestivum (bread wheat)
Lineage: Eukaryota; Viridiplantae; Streptophyta; Magnoliopsida; Poales; Poaceae
Description: partial small subunit ribosomal RNA
Source: RNAcentral
AUGAUGAUUUGGGACACCGUGGAUUGUUCUUACCACCGCUCUCUUCGCGCAAAGUCUUCACGCAUUUCUUCUACAUGUGCCAUGUUCACUUUGCAUGAUAUGCUCAUUUGUUUACAUUUGCCAUGCAUUUGUGACCCAUGCUUUGCAUUACACAUGAUGAUUGAUGCUACUACUUGUAUGUGUAUUUGCAAGCUUGGUGGAGAUAUUGCUUGUUAUUGCCAUGUUCCAUUUAUGCCACAUUCCUAUGAUGAUACUAUGAUCUUGCUUUGUGCUCGUGCUCGCGAUAUGUCAUGUGCACUUCCUAUAUCUAUUAUUUACUCACAUGACAUGAUUGCCAUGAUUUCCUCUAGUGUGUUGCAUCUUCGCUCCACUAGUUUGCACGACUUGAUUUCUAUGCUUUCUCUUGUUGCAUCCAAUUCUUGGAUUAGUUGCUCCUAUCAUAUGUUUGGUUGCAACAAUGUCAUUACUUCACAUAUGCCAUGUCCCAUUGCUUGUCACUUGCUUGACUUGAUUGCCUCGCACAUGUUGCAAUAUUGCUAUAUCAUUUGUGCUGAGUGCCUCACUUUCUUCACCACACCAUAUGCACAUUAUGCUUGGAUUAUCUUGCACUUGCCCCAUGUGUUUAGACUUGCAUUUCAUUUGGUGUUGUGA